This 253-nucleotide ribosomal RNA is filed under the name uncultured bacterium. RNAcentral describes it as "partial 16S ribosomal RNA". It matches the Rfam family "Bacterial small subunit ribosomal RNA", at positions 524 to 776 of the family's 1533-position model. The record is from RNAcentral.
UACGUAGGGUCCGAGCGUUGUCCGGAAUUACUGGGCGUAAAGAGCUCGUAGGUGGUUUGUCGCGUUGUUCGUGAAAACUCACAGCUCAACUGUGGGCGUGCGGGCGAUACGGGCAGACUUGAGUACUGCAGGGGAGACUGGAAUUCCUGGUGUAGCGGUGGAAUGCGCAGAUAUCAGGAGGAACACCGGUGGCGAAGGCGGGUCUCUGGGCAGUAACUGACGCUGAGGAGCGAAAGCGUGGGGAGCGAACCGG